CAAUAUGGGGUCGCUUCUGCAUGGAAGUAAGUUAGAAAAAGACAAAUCCUUGAAUUAUAAAGUUGUUAUGUAAUAAUUUAAAUUUUAUGCUCAUUCUUCAAAGAAAAAAACAAGAUAUGGAGAAAAGCAAUUGUCUAACAAGUCUAGUAGUUCUAAUACUUGUCCUGCCAUAUGUAAAUGCAACCUUGUCAAAGCCAAAAGCUGCAAAGCACUUUGUGUUGGUUCAUAAGGCAUGUCAUGGAGCCUGGUCUUGGUACAAAAUUAUAGCAUUGAUGAAAUCUUCAGGGCAUAAUGUCACAGCUCUUGACUUAGGUGCUUCAGGAAUUAACUCGAAACAGGCCCGCGAAAUUACACAUUUUUCUGAUUUCUUGAGUCCGUUAAUCGAGUUCAUGACUUCUCUUCCUGCACAUAAAAAUGUUUACCCAUUUUCAGGCAAAUUGACUGAUACAAUUAAUUCUACCAAUUCCCGGAUGGUGGAACCAACUUGCAAUAUUCCCCCUUGUGGUAAUAUGUGAUGCAAUGCAGUGGUAUCUAAAUAUACUUCGUUAUAGUUAUGCAAUGCAGUAGUAUCGAAACUUGAUAAUCGUGUUAUAUACGAUAAGGGGCCUUCGAAUCCUCCAACCUUCAUUUUAGGUCCGAAGUACUUAGCAAGUAAUGUUUACCAACAGAGCCCAAUUCAGGAUUUGGCGUUGGCCACUACACUAGUAAGGGAAAUAUUUUUUUACAGUGUGGAAGAUGUUUCUAACGAGAUAAUUCUUUCGAGAAAAAGAUAUGGAUCAAUUAGGCGAGCGUUUGUUGUUACUCCGGAAGAUAAACUUCUAAAAAAAGAAUUUCAACAAUUGAUGAUUAAAAGAAAUCCACCUGAUGAAGUAAAAGAGAUCCAGGGCGCUGACCAUAUGGUCAUGAUGUCUAAGCCCCAUGAACUUUUUAAAUUUCUUCUGAGAUUUGCUGACAAGGGACUAACUCACGUGUCUGUUGCAACUGUAUGACGAUCUAAGUUGUUUCAUGAAAGUCCUCCCAGCUAGUUGAUUUGAUGUUCCAAUCAUUUUCUCCAAGUGGUUGAUGUUUUCUUUCAUUGUAAUAUUAGUGUUUGGAAUUGACAUCAAUAAACGACUUAUAUUUCCAAUAUAUCCAUAGUGUUGUUGUUUUAGUUCAAUUUUCUGUAUUAUCAUUAGCAUU
RNA transcript from Solanum stenotomum, 1179 nucleotides. It is a transcript of the gene named methyl jasmonate esterase 1-like, with no coding region annotated. The transcript has 2 exons. The record is from RefSeq and is a predicted model, not a curated record. Lineage: Eukaryota; Viridiplantae; Streptophyta; Magnoliopsida; Solanales; Solanaceae.